AUAACGACUCUCGGCAACGGAUAUCUAGGCUCUCGCAUCGAUGAAGAACGUAGCGAAAUGCGAUACUUGGUGUGAAUUGCAGAAUGCCGUGAACCAUCGAGUUUUUGAACGCAAGUUGCGCCCGAAGCCAUUUGGCCGAGGGCACGUCUGCCUGGGCGUCACGC
Molecule: ribosomal RNA, 164 nt
Filed under: Scrophularia villosa
Lineage: Eukaryota; Viridiplantae; Streptophyta; Magnoliopsida; Lamiales; Scrophulariaceae
Description: 5.8S ribosomal RNA
Rfam family: 5.8S ribosomal RNA
About the family: 5.8S ribosomal RNA (5.8S rRNA) is a component of the large subunit of the eukaryotic ribosome. It is transcribed by RNA polymerase I as part of the 45S precursor that also contains 18S and 28S rRNA.
Source: RNAcentral